AUACUUACCUGGCCGAGGCGAUACCAUGAUCACGAAGGUGGUUUUCCCAGGGCGAGGCUCAUCCAUUGCACUCCAGCUGUGCUGACCCCUGAGAUUUCCCCAAAUGUGGGAAACUCGGCUGUAUAAUUUGUGGUCUUCGGGGACUAUGUUCGCACUCUCCUGAU
This is a small nuclear RNA of Echinops telfairi (small Madagascar hedgehog), 164 nucleotides long. Its record names the gene U1. It matches the Rfam family "U1 spliceosomal RNA". From Rfam's summary of the family: U1 is a small nuclear RNA (snRNA) component of the spliceosome (involved in pre-mRNA splicing). The record is from Ensembl. Lineage: Eukaryota; Metazoa; Chordata; Mammalia; Afrosoricida; Tenrecidae.